GCCGCAUUUAUUGAGAGAACUUCACAAAUUUGUGGUCGUAAAUGUUGAGUUUGAGUUACUAAGAUAUUAUGACUUACAACUUUUGACAAACACCAAACUGAACAUAAUUUUACAUCACUGCCAUGUAUAUAUGUUAUAAUUGUAACAAGUAAUAUAAAGACAUUCAAGCAAAAUUAUCAACAUUACAAUCAACAAGUAUAAAUUUCAUGCAAUACCAUCAUAUUACAAUCACCUUCCAUCCUUUGCCUUGAAAGAAUAAUUCAUCAUUGUUGAUUCCGCCUCCAGACCCCAGUAGGAAGAGGGAAAUUGACUACUUGGUUACAGAAGCUAACCUCUGCAUAGCAUAAUAAAGGCAUCGCAUCUCUCAACUUGCUCCAGUCCAUCUUUAGGUGUGGCAACAACCUCAAACACAAACCCUCCAACUUCCAAGUCGUUUCACUUAAGCAAAUGUCGACCAGGCGUCCUUCCUCUAUGCAAAGAUAUUCUAAAUUAGGAAGCAUCUCAGGACUAACCCAUCUUGGCAAUUUUUCAUGAUUGUAAGCCCUAAGAUACAGCUUCUUAAGGUGAGGCGGAGGUAAAAGUGGAUCUAGCAUCUUUUGCAUUGUUGUACCUUCCAUCCCUUCAGAGUCAAAAUCAAUGGCUAAAAGCUUGAGUUUCUUGAGUUUUGACAGGACACCACAUUCCUUCUCUGUUAUUUCACUGUUAUUGCUCAAACUCAUUCGCAAUACUCUUAACUCGGUUAGGCCUUCAAGCUCAAGAAGUUGACAACUUCUUCUGUUUGCCUGACGAAUCAGUUUCAGUCCAGAUAUUUGUUGAAGCUGGGACAGCCUGCCUAGUCCACGAGGCAGGUAUGGAAGCAAUUGGCAAGAGCUUAAGUCCAAGACUACCAGACUCUUCAAAAAAGUGACUGAAGGUCUUAUUUUGUAUAGCUUAUGGCAUCCAAUUAAAACUAAGAGCUGGAGGUUCUGGAGUUUGCAAAUGGAAUCCGGCAAUUCUUCAAGGCCCUCGGCUCUACUUAGAUUUAGAUAUGCAAGGCGUUUGAGAGAACUAAUCCAACUCAAGAGUCUAUUUAAAGUGAUUUUGUCGAACUUAUUGUCUGACAAGUCAAGUGCCCUGAGUGAGUGGAGUGAAACCAAAUUCAUGGGAGGUUGGCUGCCAGUCACCUGCAGCAAUGCUCUGAGCUUUGUAUUUCUGUUUAAUGAUUGCGCAUCCAUUUCGCUCGUGAAUCCUAACCAUGGAGAAUAUUCAUUUAAUUUUUGUAUGCCCUUGCUAUCAAAGGUGGAAAGUUUCUCCUCUUGUGCCAUCAUAAGGGUCAAGU
Molecule: unclassified non-coding RNA, 1318 nt
Filed under: Hevea brasiliensis (rubber tree)
Lineage: Eukaryota; Viridiplantae; Streptophyta; Magnoliopsida; Malpighiales; Euphorbiaceae
Source: RNAcentral